Molecule: ribosomal RNA, 576 nt
Filed under: Exophiala lecanii-corni
Lineage: Eukaryota; Fungi; Ascomycota; Eurotiomycetes; Chaetothyriales; Herpotrichiellaceae
Description: partial large subunit ribosomal RNA
Rfam family: Eukaryotic large subunit ribosomal RNA
Source: RNAcentral
CUCAGUAACGGCGAGUGAAGCGGCAACAGCUCAAAUUUGAAAUCUGGCCUCUUUGGGGUCCGAGUUGUAAUUUGUAGAGGAUGUUUCGGGUACCGCUCCGGUUUAAAUUUCUUGGAACAGAAUGUCAUAGAGGGUGAGAAUCCCGUCUUGGACCGGCGGUAGGGCCCAUGUGAAACUCCUUCGACGAGUCGAGUUGUUUGGGAAUGCAGCUCAAAAUGGGUGGUAAAUUUCAUCUAAAGCUAAAUAUUGGCCAGAGACCGAUAGCGCACAAGUAGAGUGAUCGAAAGAUGAAAAGCACUUUGAAAAGAGAGUUAAACAGUAUGUGAAAUUGUUGAAAGGGAAGCGCUUACAACCAGACUUGAGCGCGACGGUUCCCCCUUCCUUUUGGUUGGGCUACUCCGUCGUGUCCAGGCCAACAUCGGUUUUGGGGGUCGGUUAAAGGCGCCGGGAAUGUAUCUACCCUUCGGGCGUAGACUUAUAGCCCGGCGUGUCAUGCGACCUCCCGGGACCGAGGAACGCGCUUCGGCUCGGAUGUUGGCGUAAUGGUUGUCAGCGACCCGUCUUGAAACACGGACC